This 2166-nucleotide ribosomal RNA is filed under the name Methylobacterium radiotolerans. RNAcentral describes it as "bacterial LSU rRNA". It matches the Rfam family "Bacterial large subunit ribosomal RNA", at positions 132 to 2450 of the family's 2925-position model. Lineage: Bacteria; Pseudomonadati; Pseudomonadota; Alphaproteobacteria; Hyphomicrobiales; Methylobacteriaceae. The record is from RNAcentral.
GGUUGGUCAUGUGAAGGUAUCAAAUCCUGAAUUCAUAGGGGUUUGAAGCGAACCCGGGGAACUGAAACAUCUCAGUACCCGGAGGAAAGGACAUCAACGAGACUCCGUCAGUAGUGGCGAGCGAACGCGGAUCAGGCCAGUGCCUGUGUUGAGUUUACCGGAACGGUCUGGAAAGGCCGGCACGAUGGGUGAUAGCCCCGUACGGGACGGACGAUACGCAGGACUCGAGUAGGGCGGGACACGUGAAAUCCUGUCUGAACAUGGGGGGACCACCCUCCAAGCCUAAGUACUCCUCAGCGACCGAUAGCGAACCAGUACCGUGAGGGAAAGGUGAAAAGCACCCCGACGAGGGGAGUGAAACAGCACCUGAAACCGGAUGCUUACAAACAGUGGGAGCCCAAGGUUCGUCCUGGGUGACCGCGUACCUUUUGUAUAAUGGGUCAGCGACUUAAAGUUACGAGCGAGCUUAAGCCGAUAGGUGGAGGCGCAGCGAAAGCGAGUCUGAACAGGGCGUUCAGUUCGUGGCUUUAGACCCGAAACCGAGUGAUCUAGCCAUGUGCAGGAUGAAGGUGGGGUAACACCCACUGGAGGUCCGAACCAGUGCCCGUUGAAAAGGUCUUGGAUGACGUGUGGCUAGGGGUGAAAGGCCAAUCAAACUCGGAAAUAGCUGGUUCUCCGCGAAAGCUAUUUAGGUAGCGCCUCGAGUGAAUACCUCACGGGGUAGAGCACUGGAUGGGCUAGGGCCGCCCACAGCGGUACCAAACCCAACCAAACUCCGAAUACGUGAGAGUACUGCUCGGGAGACACACGGCGGGUGCUAACGUCCGUCGUGGAGAGGGAAACAACCCUGACCGACAGCUAAGGCCCCCAAUUCGUGGCUAAGUGGGAAAGGAUGUGGGACUCCCAAAACAACCAGGAGGUUGGCUUAGAAGCAGCCAUCCUUUAAAGAAAGCGUAACAGCUCACUGGUCUAAAUAAGGGGUCCUGCGCCGAAAAUGUAACGGGGCUCAAGCCACGAGCCGAAGCUUCGGGUGUGUUCGUCUUCGGAUUGAACACGCGGUAGCGGAGCGUUCCCUAGGCCUGCGAAGGAAGACCCGUGAGGGCUUCUGGAGGUAUGGGAAGUGCGAAUGCUGACAUGAGUAACGACAAAGAGUGUGAAAGACACUCUCGCCGAAAGUCCAAGGGUUCCUGCGUAAAGUUAAUCUGCGCAGGGUUAGCCGGCCCCUAAGGCGAGGCCGAAAGGCGUAGUCGAUGGGAACGGGGCGAACAUUCCCCGGCCAGCGGAUGGUGACGGAUGCCGUAAAUCGUUCGAGCUUAUCGGAUUGCUCGGGCGGUGAAGGGGUCCCAGGAAAUAGCCUCCGCGUGAGACCGUACCCGAAACCGACACAGGUGGACUGGUAGAGUAUACCAAGGCGCUUGAGAGAACGAUGCUGAAGGAACUCGGCAAUUUGCUCCGUAACUUCGGGAUAAGGAGGCUCUGUCUUACGCAAGUAGGGCAGAGGGGCACAGACCAGGGGGUGGCGACUGUUUAUCUAAAACACAGGGCUCUGCGAAGUCUGUAAGACGACGUAUAGGGCCUGACGCCUGCCCGGUGCCGGAAGGUUAAGAGGAGAGGUGAGAGCUUUGAAUCGAAGCCCCGGUAAACGGCGGCCGUAACUAUAACGGUCCUAAGGUAGCGAAAUUCCUUGUCGGGUAAGUUCCGACCUGCACGAAUGGCGUAACGAUCUCCCCGCUGUCUCCAGCAUCGGCUCAGUGAAAUUGAAUUCCCCGUGAAGAUGCGGGGUUCCUGCGGUCAGACGGAAAGACCCCGUGCACCUUUACUGUAGCUUUGCGCUGGCCUUCGUGUCGGCAUGUGUAGGAUAGGUGGUAGGCUUUGAAGCCGGGGCGUCAGCCCUGGUGGAGCCGUCCUUGAAAUACCACCCUUGGCGAUAUGGUGGUCUAACCGCGACCCUUGAUCGGGGUCCGGGACCGCGCAUGGCAGGCAGUUUGACUGGGGCGGUCGCCUCCCAAAGCGUAACGGAGGCGUACGAAGGUGGGCUCAGAGCGGUCGGAAAUCGCUCGUCGCGUGCAAUGGCAUAAGCCCGCUUGACUGCGAGACAGACACGUCGAGCAGAGACGAAAGUCGGUCAUAGUGAUCCGGUGGUCCCGCGUGGGUGGGCCAUCGCUC